GACUGGCGCGUCGCCGAAAGCAGCCGCCUGCUCGGCCGGGGGCGUUACCGAACCCCGCCUCCCCGCGUACGUGACCCACAGCGUCACACGGGGCCCGCCUCCCCGCCGGGGGGCGUGACGCGGCUCACGGAGGCCGGGCCGAGCCGGGCGGAACCUCUGGGCGCGCGGCGGCGUUUCCGGAGGGACGCCGAGGGCGACACCGGGGUCCGCGGGUGACGGGUCCCCCGCGCGGGCCCGCGUUCCGGCAUGAAGUUUCGGGCCAAAAUCGUGGACGCGGCCUGUCUGAACCACUUCACGCGAGUCAGCAACAUGAUAGCCAAGCUGGCCAAAACCUGCACUCUGCGCAUCAGCCCGCGUCACCUGAACUUCAUCCUCUCCGACAAGGUGGCCAGUGGAGGGGUGAGCAUGUGGUGUGAGCUGGAACAGGAGAACUUCUUCAACGAAUUUCAAAUGGAAGGUGUGUCAGCAGAAAACAAUGCGAUUUAUUUAGAGCUGACAUCAGAGAAUCUGUCUCGAGCCUUGAAAACUGCCCAGAAUGCCAGAGCCUUGAAAAUCAAGCUGACUAAUAAACACUUUCCCUGCCUCACCGUCUCCAUAGAGCUGUUAUCUGUGUCGAGCAGUAGUCGCAUUGUAACCCACGAUAUCCCCAUAAAGGUCAUUCCUAGGAAACUGUGGAAGGAUUUACAGGAACCGACAGUCCCAGACUGUGAUGUUAGUAUUUAUUUGCCAGUCCUGAAGACUAUGAAGAGCGUGGUGGAAAGAAUGAAAAACAUCAGCAACCACCUUAUAAUUGAAGCAAACCGAAAUGGGGACCUGAACUUGAAAAUAGAAUCUGAGCUAGUGUGUGUUACAACUCAUUUUAAAGAUCUGGGCAACCCUCCAUUUGCCUCUGAAAACGCCUCUCAAGACAGAAACCCAGCGCGCAUGGCAGAAGUGCACGUGGAUAUCAGGAAGUUCCUGCAGUUUCUUUCUGGACAGCAAGUGAACCCCACAAAGGCCAUCUGCAAUAUUGUCAGGAACAAGGUGGUUCACUUCGAUUUGCUCCAUGAGGACGUGUCCCUGCAGUAUUUCAUCCCAGCGUUGUCAUAGCAACGCCUGCUGGAUUGGGCACCUGGGAUCUCUGGCACCACUGGCCGGGACAGGCUGUCGGGUGAUGUGUUCUGUCGUUUGUCCUCGCAGCAGCGCAGAUUCUUUAAGUUAAAAAGGAGCAGAUCAGACAGGACGUGUACUGCCUGACCCCAGUGUGGAGAGCAGUAACGUGUACGUGUGCGUAUGAUCAGAAGACACGGGGGAAACACGCGCCCGCGUUGAAACUGGGUAAUUUCCGGAUGUUUUAUUUCAAUCCUUAUAAAUGUAAGUAUUUCCUAAAAGUUUUACAAUCAGCUUUGUACCAAAAAAUAAAGUAUUUUGUAAGG
This is an RNA transcript of Rhinolophus ferrumequinum (greater horseshoe bat), 1415 nucleotides long. It is a transcript of the gene named HUS1 checkpoint clamp component, with no coding region annotated. NCBI's taxonomy places the organism in Eukaryota, Metazoa, Chordata, Mammalia, Chiroptera, Rhinolophidae. The record is from RefSeq and is a predicted model, not a curated record. The transcript is spliced from 9 exons.